CGUCUAUAUACGUAUAGCAUAUCAAUAAGCGGAGGAAAAGAAACUAACUAGGAUUCCCUCAGUAACGGCGAGUGAAGCGGGAAGAGCUCAAAUUUGAAAUCUUAAAGGGUUUCCCUUGACGAAUUGUAGUUUAAAGAAGUGUUUUCUGUUGGAGUUUUCGGUAAAAGUUCUUUGGAAUAGGACAUCAUAGAGGGUGAGAAUCCCGUAUUUGACCAUUAUUUCCAACUUUGUGAUACACUUUCAAAGAGUCGGAUUGUUUGGGAAUGCAGUCCAAAAUGGGUGGUAAAUUUCAUCUAAAGCUAAAUACUGGCGAGAGACCGAUAGCGAACAAGUACCGUGAGGGAAAGAUGAAAAGAACUUUGAAAAGAGAGUUAAACAGUACGUGAAAUUGUCAAAAGGGAAGCGUUUGACACCAGUGUUGUUUUCUCGAAAAUCAAUUAAAAAUGGUGGGAUGUUGUGUUGUAUUGACUUUAUCAGCUUUCUGCACUUUUUUCCUAUCUUUUUUAAUGCACUUUUCGUUUAACAAGUCAACAUCAAUUUCUUUUGUUGUAAAAGAGUCAUUGGAAGGUGGCUUUCUUUUCGGAGAAAGUGUUUAUAGCCUUUGACUUCUGCAAUCGGAGAGAUUGAGGUCUGCAGCGUAGAUCCUUCGGGGUUAGAUACAUUUGUGCUAAGCUAUAGCCUUUCAUAGACAACUUGUUGACUAUGAUCAGUCAUGUAGCUUACUCGCUUAUGUCAUUUUACCUACGCUUAGGAUGUUGACGAUCAGCUGAGCGCG
This 775-nucleotide ribosomal RNA is filed under the name uncultured Neocallimastigales. Its description in RNAcentral is "partial large subunit ribosomal RNA". It matches the Rfam family "Eukaryotic large subunit ribosomal RNA", at positions 26 to 628 of the family's 3401-position model. Lineage: Eukaryota; Fungi; Neocallimastigomycota; Neocallimastigomycetes; Neocallimastigales. The record is from RNAcentral.